CGCGCAGGCGGUCUUGUCCGUCAGGUGUGAAAGCUCGGGGCUCAACCCCGGAAGUGCACUUGAAACAGCAAGACUUGAAUACGGGAGAGGAGAGGGGAAUUCCUGGUGUAGAGGUGAAAUUCGUAGAUAUCAGGAGGAACACCGAUGGCGAAGGCAUCUCUCUGGACCGAUAUUGACGCUGAGGCGCGAAGGCGUGGGUAGCGAACG
Molecule: ribosomal RNA, 207 nt
Filed under: uncultured bacterium
Lineage: Bacteria
Description: partial 16S ribosomal RNA
Rfam family: Bacterial small subunit ribosomal RNA
Source: RNAcentral